AUGAGUAGGGCGGGACACGUGGUAUCCUGUCUGAAUAUGGGGGGCCCAUCCUCCAAGGCUAAAUACUCCUGACUGACCGAUAGUGAACCAGUACCGUGAGGGAAAGGCGAAAAGAACCCCGGCGAGGGGAGUGAAAAAGAACCUGAAACCGUGUACGUACAAGCAGUGGGAGCACGCUUAGGCGUGUGACUGCGUACCUUUUGUAUAAUGGGUCAGCGACUUAUAUUCUGUAGCAAGGUUAACCGAAUAGGGGAGCCGAAGGGAAACCGAGUCUUAACUGGGCGUUAAGUUGCAGGGUAUAGACCCGAAACCCGGUGAUCUAGCCAUGGGCAGGUUGAAGGUUGGGUAACACUAACUGGAGGACCGAACCGACUAAUGUUGAAAAAUUAGCGGAUGACUUGUGGCUGGGGGUGAAAGGCCAAUCAAACCGGGAGAUAGCUGGUUCUCCCCGAAAGCUAUUUAGGUAGCGCCUCGUGAAUUCAUCUCCGGGGGUAGAGCACUGUUUCGGCAAGGGGGUCAUCCCGACUUACCAACCCGAUGCAAACUGCGAAUACCGGAGAAUGUUAUCACGGGAGACACACGGCGGGUGCUAACGUCCGUCGUGAAGAGGGAAACAACCCAGACCGCCAGCUAAGGUCCCAAAGUCAUGGUUAAGUGGGAAACGAUGUGGGAAGGCCCAGACAGCCAGGAUGUUGGCUUAGAAGCAGCCAUCAUUUAAAGAAAGCGUAAUAGCUCACUGGUCGAGUCGGCCUGCGCGGAAGAUGUAACGGGGCUAAACCAUGCACCGAAGCUGCGG
RNAcentral lists this ribosomal RNA (796 nucleotides) under Shigella sonnei. RNAcentral describes it as "partial 23S ribosomal RNA". It matches the Rfam family "Bacterial large subunit ribosomal RNA", at positions 408 to 1205 of the family's 2925-position model. The record is from RNAcentral. Lineage: Bacteria; Pseudomonadati; Pseudomonadota; Gammaproteobacteria; Enterobacterales; Enterobacteriaceae.